Nerophis lumbriciformis (worm pipefish) is the source of this 3530-nucleotide long non-coding RNA. RefSeq lists it as uncharacterized. The record is from RefSeq and is a predicted model, not a curated record. Lineage: Eukaryota; Metazoa; Chordata; Actinopteri; Syngnathiformes; Syngnathidae.
CCGUCUCGCAAGCUGGUUUCCUUCCACUCGGCCAACGACAAGUCAACCUGAAGCCGCUUUGGCCUUUUCACUUUCUUUCCUCGCUCCCUCGUGUGCUUCCUCCUUUCCUUUUCUUUCCUCCAUUCCUUUCCUCCUUUCGUCCUCGACUUGUCUCGCCUACUCCCCCCCCCAAGUAAGAGGAUCACUUUGUUUCCGUCGCCGUCCCGCGUGGACGAGAGGACCGCGUCCGAGCAGAUACUGAUGGGGGUGCACAGCUGCACCACCGGCGCCCCCAUCUCCUCUUGGGUAAGAGGGGGGCGGGAUUAAAGAGGGGGGAAGAAAUAUGGAAGUUGGACAAAAGAGGACACUUGGACACUUUCAUUCCCAGUUUUCGAAUGCUGGAAAAUUGAUGGAAAUGCACGAGAAAAGUACUCCGUCCAGCAAACACCCCAGAGAAGAAGACUUCCAUGAAGGAGUGAAGAUGAGAUGAAGAAGGACCAGAAUGUGGAGGAGACUCUCAUCCCACCACCCCCCAAGCUCCACAUCAUUAUGCAUCAUUACGCCGAGGUGAUAAAACCACUGGAUUGGGGCCUAACUGCUGAAACAUCAAUAGUGCAAUUGAAGAUGACGUGGGCCGAGCCACGAGGCACCUGAACGCCUCAUCAAGUGCUGCUUUCAAGUGCCGGAAGAAGCUGAACCGAACUCUUUUGCCCCAUGGAACACUGAGUAGGCACCUUACUGGGUGCUAUGGGUUACAUUGACAUGUCUCUAGGGGGCGCCGCAAGGAUGAGAGGGGGAAAAAACAGAUCAAGUCAGAAUAUGUUUGUUGGAUGUGCGCCCUCUACAGGCAAGGCUGCCAUACUGCGCACUUGAAGUGGAUACAACCAAACUGAGUAGUUGGGGUGUAACUGGAAGUGUAAGAGUAAAACAAGUACAUUGCAAAAAGCUGAAGUGAAUUAAUUGACUCAUAAUGUUUAUAUCCAACUUGGAGAAAGCAAACCCACCAGGUUUGAGUAAAUAACGGUUGAGAAAGAGCCUUAGAUGGACAUUUGCAUGUGGACUGGAAUUAGCUCUCUCACGAGAAGGAGCCAUAAAACCAGGCAAAAGUUAUAGCUCUAUCCUGGCGAGGAGAUUCCAUGUUUAUCUUAAACGUCAAACCUACAAGUUAUGGUAUACAUCUGUUGUUUUCCAGUCACCACCCACGAACACUUGCGCUGUUCUGACCUGGCACCAGUGUUGGGUUAGUUACUGAAAACCAGUAACUAGUGACAGUUACUAGUUACUUUAUUUCAAAAGUAACUCAGUUACUAACUCAGUUACUUACACCAAAAAGUAAUGUGUUACUGUGAAAAGUAACUAUUUAGUUACUUCUUUUUUUCUUCUUCUUUUUUUAAAGCUCCCAUUAAGCCUUCAUUUCAGUACUGUUAUUGCACUGGAGAAUAAUACAAUCUGUUGAUCAGCGCUAGGAAUUUUCAAAAUGGGGUCCCAGGGACCCCAUCAACUCAUUAAAAUGGGGUCCUACAGUAAAUUUUUGGGGUCCCAUUUUUUUGUAAGCGUUUUGAAAAAACAAACGUAUGCAUUAUCCUGUUGUAUCUCACAUUCUAUAUUGUGUUUUGGAAAAAGGUUGUCAUAAACGAUACUUAAUUCAUUUAAAAACAUAAUAAAAAAAGAAAACAUAUUUGUAUACAUAUGUAAAUGUAUUCAGUUAUAAACAUUCAUUCACUUUCUCCUGUCCUUCAUGGAUCUGAACUUUACCGCUGCUGGUAGUUUUUUCUAUGUUUUUAUUUAAUAAGUUGUAGGUGUAUUUAUGUCAGUAUAAAAGUGUAAAAAUGGUUUUGCUUAGGUCAUGAAAUGAUGAUAAUGGUGUGCCAAGGCAUACAUAUAUUUUAUAUUUAACGCUUAAAUCUCUGGAGUCUACAUCAACUUCAGAUCUAUCCCUCAUUUCAAAAUGUUUUAGUUUUUUUAUAUGUUGUUUUUUUGUUUGUUUGUUUUCCGCCCUUUUUUGUCAAACAAAACUAUGUUUUUAAUGGCAUACACACAAAAUAUGCAAAAUCUUCCACCAAAAAUAUUUUUCAAAGUGGAAUAUUAGAUGUGAAGUAAUCGAAACCUUUGAUAGGUCAAUAAUUCAUAAUAACAUUGAUUUUGAUUCAAUAUUAUGUUUUGAGCAAUGACAGUUUGAAAGAAAUUGAUUAACGUGGACCCCUUCUUAAACAAGUUGAAAAACGUAUUCGGGUGUUACCAUUUAGUGGUCAAUUGUACGGAAUAUGUACUGUUCUGUGCAAUCUACUAAUAAAUGUCUCAAUCAAUCAAUCCACUCCCUCGCUCUCUCGCUUUCUCUGUCUCUGCCCCUCCCUCACGAAUGUUGCUGUGUACACCUUCACAAUUUGUUUUGUUUUCAACCCCUUCUUAACCCUGGACGUACAUUGAAAAUACACGCAACCCUAACUCAAAAUGCCGGACAUUUCAGCCAUUUAAGAAACCCCGCCUGGACAGCCCCGCAAAAGAAGAGAUGUCCGGGGAAAAGAGGACGCAUGGUCAGUCUAGAAUAUCUCCAUGUUAAGAAACUCGGUUUCAGCUCCACCAUGAUGUCUUGUUAGUAAACACAGACACGCCCCCUUCCCUCCCCACACCCACACCCAGACACACACACAGCACCUUUUCUCUUGUCCCCGCCUGAAGGACGACACUGCAACUCUUCAAUAAAACUCAUUUAGAUCUUCUGUUUUUAGCCGAUACUACAUAAAAAAUAACGUAAAAUAACCCAGUAAUGCAUCAUGUAGUAACGGUAACUGAGUUACUGAAUAUAAAAAAUAACGCGUUAGACUACAAGUUACCGCCGAAACUAACGGUGUUACAGUAACGCGUUACUUUGUAACGCGUUAGUCCCAACACUGCUUAGUACACACCCAGACAGAGAAAGAAGGAAUACAUAACUGAUGGUUUGGCUUCUCCAGGCCAGGACUUCUUCAUAUUUGACCUGACAUCCUCCCAGGAACUGCAGUCCUGUGUAAUGAUGCUCGCUUGUAAUAAAGGCUUUAUUUAUUUAAAGCAACUUUUGGUUCAAUACAGCGUCUUCGACGUCUCUUUUGAUCCAGCUGCACAGCCUUGUUGCCCUUCUGCCCGGGAGAGGGCAACAAGACCAGAAUACACUUCAAAGCAAUUGCUUAAAAAACACAUUUUAUUCUUGAUAUUGUAUAACAUUGACUAUAUCGCAGGACAACAUUUAUUUCACGAUGGAAAUGUUAAGUAACUGAAUUGUGAGUUUUAAGAGUCCUGAUAGAACAUUUUCACCAAUACGGUAACAAUGUUGGAGUCUUGAGUAAUGGCGGAUAUGAUACCAGCACGGAUUGGAGAAGAUACUUUUAUUAUUUUGUAGUGUGGCAUGUUAGAAAAGGGUUGAUGAUGGUAGGUAUGAAAAACAUUAACCUAUAUUAGUCUGUAAUGGACUUGUAUUGUUUUUUGGCGACGCCUAGUGGCCACAAUAAUUCAUAAUAAUGCACUAAGUUUGAGUUCAAACCCCGGCCGAGUCAUACCAAAGACUAUAAAAAUGG